Molecule: ribosomal RNA, 759 nt
Filed under: uncultured Alphaproteobacteria bacterium
Lineage: Bacteria; Pseudomonadati; Pseudomonadota; Alphaproteobacteria
Description: bacterial SSU rRNA
Rfam family: Bacterial small subunit ribosomal RNA
Source: RNAcentral
CUAAUACCGCACGAGCCCGAGAGGGGAAAGAUUUAUCGCCAUUGGAGGAGCCCGCGUUCGAUUAGGUAGUUGGUGAGGUAACGGCUCACCAAGCCGACGAUCGAUAGCUGGUCUGAGAGGAUGAUCAGCCACACUGGGACUGAGAUACGGCCCAGACUCCUACGGGAGGCAGCAGUGGGGAAUAUUGGACAAUGGGGGCAACCCUGAUCCAGCAAUGCCGCGUGAGUGAUGAAGGCCUUCGGGUUGUAAAGCUCUUUUGGCGGGGACGAUGAUGACGGUACCCGCAGAAUAAGCCCCGGCUAACUUCGUGCCAGCAGCCGCGGUAAUACGAAGGGGGCAAGCGUUGUUCGGAAUUACUGGGCGUAAAGGGCGCGUAGGCGGCUUAUCAAGUCAGGCGUGAAAUUCCCGGGCUCAACCUGGGGGCUGCGCUUGAUACUGAUGAGCUUGAAUGCGGGAGAGGAUAGUGGAAUUCCCAGUGUAGAGGUGAAAUUCGUAGAUAUUGGGAAGAACACCGGUGGCGAAGGCGGCUAUCUGGCCCGUUAUUGACGCUGAGGCGCGAAAGCGUGGGGAGCGAACAGGAUUAGAUACCCUGGUAGUCCACGCCGUAAACGGUGGGCGCUAGGUGUGGGGGCCAUUCCACGGUCUCUGUGCCGCAGCUAACGCAUUAAGCGCCCCGCCUGGGGAGUACGGCCGCAAGGCUAAAACUCAAAGGAAUUGACGGGGGCCCGCACAAGCGGCGGAGCAUGUGGAUUAAUUCGA